RNAcentral lists this long non-coding RNA (209 nucleotides) under Anser brachyrhynchus (Pink-footed goose). RNAcentral describes it as "lncRNA (ENSABRG00000007794.1)". Lineage: Eukaryota; Metazoa; Chordata; Aves; Anseriformes; Anatidae. The record is from RNAcentral.
CCAGUAUAUAUCAUGUUUGUGUUUUUUUAACUUCCUGGGGUAUCAAGGAGUCAUACAGCUUUCUGUCAUGGAAAGCUUCCUCAAAGAGCUGAGGAGAGAGUUAUGAAGAUUUACAGGGGCAAUUUGUGAAGCACUGGUAGCACUCAGGUGGCAUGUUACAGUGUCAACAGAGGCUUUCUGAACUUACUGCUUCCACUGACCAAUAAAAG